This 253-nucleotide ribosomal RNA is filed under the name uncultured bacterium. RNAcentral's name for it is "partial 16S ribosomal RNA". It matches the Rfam family "Bacterial small subunit ribosomal RNA", at positions 524 to 776 of the family's 1533-position model. The record is from RNAcentral.
UACGUAGGGUGCAAGCGUUGUCCGGAAUUAUUGGGCGUAAAGAGCUCGUAGGCGGUUUGUCGCGUCCGCUGUGAAAACUCAGGGCUUAACCCUGAGCCUGCAGUGGGUACGGGCAGACUAGAGUGUGGUAGGGGGGAUCGGAAUUCCUGGUGUAGCGGUGGAAUGCGCAGAUAUCAGGAGGAACACCGGUGGCGAAGGCGGUUCUCUGGGCAUUACCUGACGCUGAGGAGCGAAAGCGUGGGGAGCAAACAGG